This 494-nucleotide ribosomal RNA is filed under the name uncultured bacterium. Its description in RNAcentral is "partial 16S ribosomal RNA". It matches the Rfam family "Bacterial small subunit ribosomal RNA", at positions 28 to 507 of the family's 1533-position model. The record is from RNAcentral.
GACGAACGCUGGCGGCGUGCUUAACACAUGCAAGUCGAACGGAAAGGCCUGCUUUCCCUUGUGGAUUGCGGGUACUCGAGUGGCGAACGGGUGAGUAACACGUGAGUGAUCUGCCCCCAACUUGGGUAUAAGCCUGGGAAACUGGGUCUAAUUCCCGAUAGGACUGCAGGGUGGUGCCUGUGGUGGAAAACGAUUUUCUAGUGGUUGGGGAUGAGCUCGCGGCCUAUCAGCUUGUUGGUGGGGUAAUGGCCUACCAAGGCGGCGACGGGUAGCCGGCCUGGGAGGGUGGACGGCCACAUUGGGACUGAGAUACGGCCCAGACUCCUACGGGAGGCAGCAGUGGGGAAUAUUGCACAAUGGGCGGAAGCCUGAUGCAGCGACGCCGCGUGAGGGAUGACGGCCUUCGGGUUGUAAACUCCUUUCGACCGCGAGGAAGCCACCUGGUUGGAAGGGUGGUGACGGUAGUGGUAGAAGAAGCACCGGCUAACUACGUG